This 221-nucleotide unclassified non-coding RNA is filed under the name Hevea brasiliensis (rubber tree). Lineage: Eukaryota; Viridiplantae; Streptophyta; Magnoliopsida; Malpighiales; Euphorbiaceae. The record is from RNAcentral.
GUCAGAUGGCAAGCACUUCCUGUGAAAAUGCGGUGCCUGACCUUUUUCACUAUUUCCUGUAUUUAGGUCAUCUGAACGGAAAUUUUGCACUUGAUGACCAAAAUUAUCUCCCCCUUUCCUUGUAGACAAAUCAAAUGUUGCUUGUUCUGCUGAGAGAUGAUUUUUCUUCAUAGUUGCAUUCAUUUCCCGAACAACCCUUACAAUGUCAUCACCAAUCUCCG